RNAcentral lists this ribosomal RNA (496 nucleotides) under Lactiplantibacillus plantarum. RNAcentral describes it as "bacterial SSU rRNA". It matches the Rfam family "Bacterial small subunit ribosomal RNA", at positions 51 to 514 of the family's 1533-position model. The record is from RNAcentral. Lineage: Bacteria; Bacillati; Bacillota; Bacilli; Lactobacillales; Lactobacillaceae.
AUANNUGCAGUCGACGAACUCUGGUAUUGAUUGGUGCUUGCAUCAUGAUUUACAUUUGAGUGAGUGGCGAACUGGUGAGUAACACGUGGGAAACCUGCCCAGAAGCGGGGGAUAACACCUGGAAACAGAUGCUAAUACCGCAUAACAACUUGGACCGCAUGGUCCGAGCUUGAAAGAUGGCUUUGGCUAUCACUUUUGGAUGGUCCCGCGGCGUAUUAGCUAGAUGGUGGGGUAACGGCUCACCAUGGCAAUGAUACGUAGCCGACCUGAGAGGGUAAUCGGCCACAUUGGGACUGAGACACGGCCCAAACUCCUACGGGAGGCAGCAGUAGGGAAUCUUCCACAAUGGACGAAAGUCUGAUGGAGCAACGCCGCGUGAGUGAAGAAGGGUUUCGGCUCGUAAAACUCUGUUGUUAAAGAAGAACAUAUCUGAGAGUAACUGUUCAGGUAUUGACGGUAUUUAACCAGAAAGCCACGGCUAACUACGUGCCAGCAG